This 888-nucleotide ribosomal RNA is filed under the name uncultured delta proteobacterium. RNAcentral's name for it is "bacterial SSU rRNA". It matches the Rfam family "Bacterial small subunit ribosomal RNA", at positions 364 to 1243 of the family's 1533-position model. Lineage: Bacteria; Deltaproteobacteria. The record is from RNAcentral.
UUCCCAUGUGGGGGCACCCUGACGCAGCGACGCCGCGUGAGCGAUUAAGGCCUUCGGGUUGUAAAGCUCUGUCAGAUGGGAAGAAACGUAUGGUUCUCAAUAGGAGCCAUACUUGACGGUACCAUCAGAGGAAGCCCCGGCUAACUCCGUGCCAGCAGCCGCGGUAAUACGGAGGGGGCAAGCGUUGUUCGGAAUUACUGGGCGUAAAGGGCACGUAGGCGGUCUGAUAAGUCAGGCGUGAAAUCCCAUGGCUUAACUAUGGAAUUGCGUUUGAUACUGUCAGACUUGAGUACAGAAGAGGAGAGUGGAAUUCCUAGUGUAGCGGUGAAAUGCGCAGAUAUUAGGAGGAACACCAGUGGCGAAGGCGACUCUCUGGUCUGAUACUGACGCUGAGGUGCGAAAGCGUGGGGAGCAAACGGGAUUAGAUACCCCGGUAGUCCACGCCGUAAACGAUGGGUACUAGGUGUAGGGGGUAACGAAACCUUCUGUGCCGAAGCUAACGCAUUAAGUACCCCGCCUGGGGAGUACGAUCGCAAGAUUGAAACUCAAAGGAAUUGACGGGGGCCCGCACAAGCGGUGGAGCAUGUGGUUUAAUUCGACGCAACGCGAAGAACCUUACCAGGGCUUGACAUGUACAGGCUACCCUGUGAAAGCAGGGGUUCCUUCGGGACCAGUACACAGGUGCUGCAUGGCUGUCGUCAGCUCGUGUCGUGAGAUGUUGGGUUAAGUCCCGCAACGAGCGCAACCCUCACCCUUAGUUGCCAGCGGAUAAUGCCGGGGACUCUAAGGGAACUGCCCCGGUAACGGGGAGGAAGGUGAGGAUGACGUCAAGUCCUCAUGGCCUUUUAUGCCCUGGGCUACACACGUGCUACAAUGGGGUGGUACAAA